RNAcentral lists this long non-coding RNA (372 nucleotides) under Parus major (Great Tit). Its description in RNAcentral is "lncRNA (ENSPMJG00000007163.1)". The record is from RNAcentral. Lineage: Eukaryota; Metazoa; Chordata; Aves; Passeriformes; Paridae.
GGAAGAGGAGCUCAAGGAACUGCAGGAUCCUUCGAGGUCAAGGCCAGGACACUCCAGGAGAGCUCUGGAUCACUUGGAGAUCAUUCCCAUGGAGCAACAUGUCUGGAAGAUGUGAACUGAGUGAAAAAACUCCAUGAUUUGGGCUGGUAAUAAAGGAUAUUCUUUCCACAAGGAGGUGAAGGAAGGAGGCAGCAGAGCCAAAGCAUCCAUUUCCCAGAGGAAUUGUCCUCCAGGGAGCCAAGAGACAAGAAGGGAGAAGGAGGAAAUAUCACCAAAAUCAAGACAUGCAUGGGAAAUAAGGAUUUCACCCCAAACCAGCUGCACAGCCUGAGAGAGAGGAGGUUUGGCACGCCCAUCCCCAGAGGUGUCCAG